Molecule: non-coding RNA, 934 nt
Organism: Megalobrama amblycephala (Wuchang bream)
Lineage: Eukaryota; Metazoa; Chordata; Actinopteri; Cypriniformes; Xenocyprididae
Source: the annotation of a RefSeq genome assembly
ACAGGAGCAGAAUUUACAUUUAGCAAACAUUUUAACAAUGGUGUCAAUGAGCAUCUGGCAUUUCUUAUUUGUGGUGAUUGUUUCUCAACAAGGUAUCAGUGGUGAUGAAAUCCGAUUAGAUCAGUCUCCUGCUGUGAUAAAGAGACCUGGAGAAACAGUGAAGAUCUCCUGUAAAAUAUCUGGUUUUACGAUGACAAGCUCCUACAUGCACUGGAUCAGACAGAAGCCAGGGAAAGCUCUGGAGUGGAUUGGGAGAGUAAACUCUGGCAGUAGUUCUAGCUCUAAUUAUCUUAUUUACGCAGACUCUGUGAAAAAUCACUUCACUAUGAGUGAGGAUGUGUCUCAAAGUACACAGUAUCUUGAAGCCAAGAGUCUGAGAGAAGAGGACACUGCUGUUUAUUACUGUGCUCGAGAGUCACAGUGACUCCAUCUGUUGAAGAGGCCCUACAAUAACCACAGAAAGAAGUUAUUAGGCUAUGACUAGUAAUUAUUUAGUCAUUAUUAUUUUUAAAUAUUAGUAGUCAUUGUUAUAAUAAGAUCAUCAUGAUUUUAAUUCUUUCUGGUUCUUAAAUUCAGAUACUUUCUUGUUUGUAUCUGAAAUCCACUCACCAUUUGCAUGACCAUUGAAAGGACAGAGUUUACUGUUGAUAGAUAUUGCAAUUUUUGAUCUUCACUCAGAUUUGUAUUUAUUUGUUUCUAACUUUAAUUAUUUUUCUUUCAUCCAGCUUACUGUAAUGUAUAGUACUCUUGCUUUAAUUGCUGUAGUGAUGCUCAAAAAUAACCAUUGUGGCCAUCAUGACACCUGCAGUGUUUACUGAGCUUUGAUGACUGCUGAUCUGACAAUAAGUUGACUACUAAAAAGAAACAGCUGAACAGCAGUCAUCAGUUCACAAAUAAAAUAUAUGACAUAUGAAAUUUGUUACUGCAUUCUUUU